This 65-nucleotide transfer RNA is filed under the name Amynthas sp. CS029. RNAcentral's name for it is "tRNA-Tyr". Lineage: Eukaryota; Metazoa; Annelida; Clitellata; Crassiclitellata; Megascolecidae. The record is from RNAcentral.
UACAAGAUGGUUGAGAAUUAAACAAUAAACUGUAAAUUUAUAUAGGGGCGAUAGCCCUCUUGUAU